UACGUAGGGGGCGAGCGUUGUCCGGAUUUACUGGGCGUAAAGCGCACGCAGGCGGUCCGGUCAGUUUGAGGUGACAGCUCCUGGCUCAACUAGGAGAGCGCCGCAAAGACGGCCGAACUUGAGGGCCAGAGAGGGACAUGGAACUCCGGGUGGAGUGGUGAAAUGCGUAGAGAUCCGGAAGAACACCAAAGGCGAAGGCAGUGUCCUGGCUGGUACCUGACGCUCAGGUGCGAAAGCGAGGGGAGCGAACGGG
RNAcentral lists this ribosomal RNA (253 nucleotides) under uncultured bacterium. RNAcentral describes it as "partial 16S ribosomal RNA". It matches the Rfam family "Bacterial small subunit ribosomal RNA", at positions 524 to 776 of the family's 1533-position model. The record is from RNAcentral.